Molecule: long non-coding RNA, 443 nt
Organism: Magnolia sinica
Lineage: Eukaryota; Viridiplantae; Streptophyta; Magnoliopsida; Magnoliales; Magnoliaceae
Exons: 2
Source: RefSeq, a predicted model, not a curated record
CAGGUGGAGUUGUGGUGAUGGUGAUGCCAAAUGGAGAGGGUGAAAGCAGAGGUUUUGAUGGGGUCGGUAGUUGUGUGCCGCAGAGUUAUGGCAGCUGGUUGAAGAUGUGGUGAUGGUGAUUUGCUGUUGAAUCUCAGUGUGCUCGAAGAUGAGUAGGGUUCAACACCUCUAUAUCCCCUGCCCAUGUAGAUGAUGAUGAAGAAUCCAUCUUUCAUUAGACUUGUUUCUUUCAGGGUAGAGGUCAGUAGCAUGAAUAAUGUUUGAUGGUAUCCACAAUUACAUCAAUUCCAAAAAGAGCUCAAGCUAAGUUUAUCUUAUGUUUUGUCAAACUGGUUCUCAUGUGACUACAAGGCUUAUAGACGAUAACUAAAACUUUGGGAAGUCAUCAUUGUAAUAUUACAGGUAUUGCUAUUUCUUGCUCCCAAGCAAGUUGUUAAUUUUAA